GGAAGGAUAGGCGCACUGCGCAGGUGUUCUGACUACAGCUCGCCUUUAUAUGUACACCAACCGCAUUAUUAAAACGGUUAAUGAUACUUCUCUGUUAUAUUUUAGCGAACUAGACUUAUAUUACACACUGUUUUCACUCCCGUGGAGCUGACUGAGUGGUAAAAAAUAAUUUGUAUUAAAAAAAAAAAACAACGGUGGCGCUGUUAAGCUAACAAGCACUAGCGCCACCAAGCAGCCACGCCAAGAUGGAGGGAUCUGCUUCCUCGGCCAGCGUAGAGGACGGAGCUGAAAACAAACGCCAUGCUGACGAAGGGACACCUGAAGAGAACGCCGGUCCAUCGACUGAAGAAACCGCUGACAGGAGUGGGGUUUUCUGCUGUCAGCAUUGUGGAGAAGGCUUCAGAGAGGAGGCAGCCUUCUUGAAGCAUUUGCGUGAACAUCCACAAGAAAGCAUGUAUUUGGACAAGCACAUGGAUGAGUUACAUGAUGGAGAAAAGGACAAUGAAGCGCUUCACUUUUGUUCUUUAUGCUCAUCCUCAUUUAUUGACCUGAGUGAAUACCACUUGCAUAUGGAGAAGAACCAUGAUCAGAUCUCUCAAAAGGAGACUGGUAUCCGGAUUAAUGCUGCCAUAGCAAAGCAACAAACUUAUGAAUGUCAGGACUGUGGGAAAUCUUAUGGUGUGAUUGGACACUUUCUCAACCAUCAGCGCUCACACAGACAACCCUCCAAAUCAGUUUUUCAUGACCUUCAGCAUUUGAAAAAGAAGUCGUUUCAGUGCGAAUCUUGUGGGAGAAAUUAUUCUCGUGCUUCAGCUCUUGAUGCCCAUCGUCGUUGUCAUGAGGAAAAGUUGAUUAAGCCCAGAAACAGGAGUUCAGGAGAUGCAAUUCCAGCUGGGGAGUCAUUAGCAGAAACAAAGGCAGGUGAAAGUCAAACGGAGGAUUAUUCUGAAAAGGUUUUUACAUGCUCAUGUGGGAAAGCUUUUUCUGCCCUGAUGCGACUUAAGACUCAUCAGAGAUUUAGCCGCAAUAGUCAGUGCUCUCCUGAAGAAAUGAAACAAAAGCCAAAGAAGAACUGCAACGAGUUUUACUGCAGCGAGUGUAAAAAGGGUUUCAGUGGCCAUAUUGCUCUCUUUAACCAUCAGCGAUGGCAUGCCAAUCAUGGUGAUAAUUCUGCAAAAAGGUUCCCAUGUGAGGAAUGUGGAAAAGUGUUCAUGACUCUUACGUUCUACUACAGGCAUCAGCGCACUGCACACAGUGACGAAACCCCAGCAAAGUCAUUUCACCAUCAGCUGUGCCAGCUACAGAAGAAGGCAUUUGAAUGUAAAGAUUGUGGGCUAAAGUUCUCCAGGUCUUCGGCACUUCAUUCUCAUCAGCUUCAUCACACAGAUGUUUUUAGAGAAACUGAGAAGGAGGCCCAGAUGUGUUCCUCUCUACCUCAAGACCAAAUGGCAGAAAGCGGAAGACCAGAGAUUGACUUGGAAACGUCUACAGAAGGAAAAGUGCAGCUGGACAGUUUGCCUCCGACCAACAUGACUGAAGAGUUGUACAUAGUUGAGACUGAUGAAGACAUGGAAAGUUAUGAACCCGGUGACUUUAACGUACAGGUGAUCAGUGCAAGUGAGUCUGAGGAUGAGCCACCCCAAGAUCUGAAUCCUGACCUGGAGCUGGUGUGUGAAUCCGAUCAGGAGGGAAGAGAUGACAGUGAUAUUGUUUCCAAACCAGAAAUGGACUUGAAAAUUGUACAAAUUGAUUUUGAGCAGGCUGAUGAGCCGAUUGCACUGAUAGCGAGGGAAGCUGAGAAUAAAUCAGCAGAAGACAGGUUUGAUUGUCCAGAGUGUUAUCGCUGGUUUUCUAGUUCUUCAUCGCUGCGUGUUCACAGAAUGUGGCAUGGCGUUUAUAAGAGAAGACAGCAGGCACAAGGUCAGUCAGCGCCUUUUUACACAUGUGACACUUGUGGUCAUGAAGCAAGUAGCUUUGAGGCACACUGCCAUCACAUACAGACCCACGGUGGUCAGAUGCCAAGCAGCGAUGCAUUUCAGGAGGUGGAGGGAUUAGAGAAGAAAAAUCUGACGUGCAGUGAAUGCGGCAAAGUUUUCUCUCGUUUGUCUGCUUUGGUCUCUCAUCAGUUGCAUCAUCCCAAAAGAAAACAGUUCCAGUGCCCAGAUUGCACAAUGUCUUAUUCGCAUGCAGCUAGCCUAUUUAACCAUAUGAAAACCUGCUCUGCACAAAAAAAGGAAAAUAUUUCAGUCAGUAAGAAAGAAUACAAUCCAAAGAAAACCCUACUGGGCCCAAAGAUCUAUCAUUGUGAGCAGUGUGGAAAGGGAUUUUGGUCUUUAGGUGCUUUCUCACACCACAAGCAAAAUCCGACAGAGUGUGCAGAUUUGAGGCUGAGAAAAGGUGUCCCGGGAUCCUCUGUUAAUGGACACCAACGCUCUAGCAUGAAGGUUGCAUGUCCGGUGUGUGGCAGAAAAUUUCGGCACAGAGGCAUCAUGACAUUGCACAUGCGAAAGCAUGAAAAUGGAAAUCACAAAUGCGAACUCUGCAACAGGUCAUUCCGCCUUUUUUCCAGCCUCCUUAGACACCAGGUAGUGCAUAAUGACCAGUUGCUCCCACCACCCAUCAAGUCUUUUCAGCAUCAAGUUGAACAGCUGAAAAAGAACACCUACAGCUGUCCUGACUGUGGGAAGUUGUUUUCACGGGCCAAAGCACUGCAGUUUCAUAUGAAAAGCCAUGGCUAUGAGAGUGGGCAUUCUCCAUCAUCAUCGUGGUCCAGAGUCACGCUGGAGGAUCUACAGUGCGCUACAUGCCUUGCACAUUUCAACAGCAAGGUCUCUUUAAGGGUUCAUCAGAAACUGUGCAUUAAAAGAGACAAUCAAGUCGUUGCAAAUACAGAAAACGAUGAUGCUCUAAGAUUGUGCGAAGGCAGCGUGGAUGCUAGCACAUGGGAAAGCUCUGACCAGUCAAAGGUACGUACACCAGUAAAGAGUGAAAUGGAUGGCACGGAACCAGAGAUGGAAAAUGACACAGGUGAAGGAGAACUGGAAAACCCAACUGCAUCCAAUAUGAAAUACAAAUGCAAAAAAUGUGACAGAAGCUUUUCAGUAGUUGGGGCUUUAAAUUUUCACAAAAGAAUUCAUGCUGAGGGCUACAGGUCUUUACCAAAAUCCAAACUGGCCAUUUCUACAAUGUUAAAAAAACCUAAACAAGAAGAGCAGGGUAAAGGACUGUUUCACUGCUCUGAAUGUGGGAGACGGUUCAUGUCUAACUCAGCCCUGGGCUCCCACAAACGAUGGCACAAAGAAAAGAAAUCUUCGCGGUCCCUGCUAAAAGAUGAUGAUUUGAAAUCUCUUAACCACAAAACCAUAGAUGGAACUUUUCAGUGCAAAAACUGUGGCAAACAGUUUUUUAAUCACCGCGUUCUGCAGCGCCACCAGAUGUUUAAUCCACCAUGUCAAAGCAAAGCUGUACCAGAGCCAGAUUUGAGCAGCAACGAACCAGGCAAGACAUUUGUGCAAGAUUUACUUCCAGCCAAGCACAGUAAAACUUUAGAGACGGGAAACGAGGCGUUUGACCAGGCUCCAGAACAAGUCAAAAUAAAUUGCAGUGAGAGUGAUGCCGUAUUGCUGGCACUGAAGCCAAAACCUCACCAGUGUCCCCUCUGCUCGAUGACCUUUACUAAAGCAAGAGGACUACGUGCUCACAAAUGGCAGGCCCACGCAAAGAGCACAAAAGGCAAACGCAAAGCUGCUUUGCGCAGAAAAAAAGAGCCUGUUGCCUCAAGUAGUGAGAUGAGGAAAACUGGAGAUUCAUCAGCAGCAGAUAACACCAGUGUGAUGUUAAAAAGUAGCACAGUUGACAGAGAUUGGAUGAAAAUCACAUUGGAUUCUCCUGUGAAAUUGUGUCCAGACUCCAGGGAAUGGGGCAUUUCUGAAGGCGCCCCCAACUUUAAGAGAGUUUACCUGGAUGUGAAGCAGGAGUCGAAACUGGAUAAUCAAACUCCUAGAGCUGCAGCUGAGGUUCCUCCACAAGUCAGCUGUGUAUCGGAGAACACAGCCAAAUGCUUCUUCAAGUGUGAUAAGUGCGGGAAAGCUUUCCAAACGGAGGAACAAUUAGGGACCCAUAAGGCAAAGGCACAGAGUCGGCCUUACUCCUGUGCUCUGUGCUGCCAAGGCUUUUGGACUGAGAAUCAGCUACAUCAGCACCUUGCUUGGCACGACGAAGUCCGCUGCCGUCUGCCGAAUGAGGUACGCUAUAGACUGAGUGCUGCUAUGACCUCAAAGCCUCUAAAACCCAAUCCCCCCGCUGCUGACAACAGAGAAAAGUUUUUCCCAUCUUCUAAAGUGAUUCGGCCUACGCUCAACUCAGCGGGCCAGUCACAAAGUAGCCAUAAGUGCCAACACUGUGGCAAAGCCUUUCUUUCACCGACCGAAUUACAGAAACACAAAACGGAGCAGUGCAGCAGCAGUGACUCAUACCAUUGCUCCGUUUGCCCCAGGACCUUCCGUGAAAUCCAAGACCUCAUCGAGCAUCACCAGGAAUGUAUCAGCGAUUACAAAAGACAAAGCGAUGCUCCUGCUGCUGUCUCUGCAGGAGAUUCCAAUGGCCUUACUUGCCUUGAAUGUGGAACUACUUUUUGUCAAGAAACUGAUUUGCACCAGCAUUAUAUUGAACACACCCACAGAGUGAAUUAAAGCAAAGAAACCUGAAAAGACCUGAAACAAUGACUCUGUACAUAGAUGCUGGCUUUUCUGAAACUUCUAAAAAUCUUUGUUAGAAAAUUUCUUUUUUGCACCUUUUACUUUGGCUAAAUAGUUCCUAAUUUGUUCGUAUAGUUUUUGAGAUUCGUUGUACUUAAACAUGUAACACUGGACUAGUAUAUGCUGAGCAGAACUGGCAGGUAAAAUCGGUAACAGAGAUCACUCUAUCCCGUUAUUAAGUUGAUGUUAGUUCUAUUUUGACCUGCACCACAAAUCAAGACCAAGCAACCAGACAGCACCAGAAAGAGCUGCACUGUGCAAGAGUUAAGUUUAAUGAUCUGACUGGUGGUGGUACAAAUGUGAAAAUACAGUGUUGUUUUUUGGGGGGGGAGCACUGAUGUCAUAGAUCUCAUAUUUUUUUGCUGUUUUAAAUUGACCUGUUGUGAAUGUAAAUUGAACUUGAUUAAUUUCUUUGGGGACCACUGUCUUUCAUUUUCAGACAAAUUUAUGCAUGUAAAUUGCCCAGAGAAAUGAAAAAUGCUGUUGACACACUACUUGCAAAGUGUAGAAAGACAUGCUAAACAAUGUUGCGCCACACGCAUGUGCUAAUUUUGCUGCUGUUUUUGUUAAGAACUGAUGUUUUGUUGAAGGAUGAUUGACGUUUUGCAUAUUUUACAGAAAGAAAAAGAACCUGAAAUUCAGCAAUGCGUACUCUUUACAUAACCUGGUAGGAAAAACAAAAUUCUUGUCUAACAUCACUUGGUCACUUCCAUUAUUAUAAACUAUACUACGUUCAUUGUAUGCUUUGUACAAUGCAUUACGCAUUAACUGAUUUAUAAGCUCCUCUGUUGAUUCUUUAUAGUGUUAUUUCUAUUGUGUGAUAAAAUAUUCAUUACUUUAAAGUAGCAGUUAUGUUCUUGUAGUAUAGUUCUAAGUAGUUUGUUAUAUUUAUUUGUUUUUUAUUCCUAGAAGUCAAAGAAGUUGAAAAUAAACGAACUUGUUUUUGCCAUGAUUAAUGGUUGUGUGAUUAAUUCAGUCAGUCUGCAUAUUCUAGUCAUGUCUGGGUUGUUAAUAUUGUUGUUUCCCAUUUCACGAUUACUUAGCUUAUGAAUAUGCCAAUAUGCGGGUGACAUAAAUUGCUCUCGCAUUACUACAUUUCAUAUCUAGCAUGUAUUAAAUAGAACACCUUGAUGUGUCAAAGGAGCAAACUAAAAGUUUGCUACUAAAACAAUGUACAAAUAAGUAAAAGCAUGUGUUGUUGAUCAUAUUAGUUAAGGCUCUGCAGUGAUAUAGGUCCAGUUUCCUCCAAUUUAAAGAUGUUUGCAGUGCCUGCUGUAGCACUGAUCAACAAACAUUUUGUUCCUGGGAUUCUUUCACCUGUACUUCCACUAAUUUCACUUACUGACUCCAAAUAUGAGAGCUGUUUUCUUCUAGCUUCACGUUUUUUGUCGCUGUGAUGUUCCACUGAUUCACUGGAUAACAGGACUGGACAGAAAUGGAGAUGCAUCUCAGUGUUUAAGACAUCAGUGCACUAAAGAUAAAGAACUCAGUGUUGAAUGUAAGGACUGUGGGCUGAAGUUUGCACAGCAGGAGCUCUACGAGACUCACCUGCACCAGCACGC
Molecule: non-coding RNA, 6319 nt
Organism: Maylandia zebra (zebra mbuna)
Lineage: Eukaryota; Metazoa; Chordata; Actinopteri; Cichliformes; Cichlidae
Source: RefSeq, a predicted model, not a curated record